Long non-coding RNA from Mustela lutreola (European mink), 4113 nucleotides. RefSeq lists it as uncharacterized. NCBI's taxonomy places the organism in Eukaryota, Metazoa, Chordata, Mammalia, Carnivora, Mustelidae. The transcript is spliced from 3 exons. The record is from RefSeq and is a predicted model, not a curated record.
GUGAUGUUUCAGCACAGCCUGAGGCAAUAUACAGACUUUCGUCCCUCCAAGUCACAGAGAGAAAUCACAAGUAGAGAGGCAGGCAGAGAGAGAGAGAAGCAGACUCCCUGCCGAGCAGAGAGCCCGAUGCGGGACUAGAUCCCAGGACCCUGAGAUCAUGACCUGAGCCGAAGGCAGCAGCUUAAUCCACUGAGCCACCCAGGCGCCCGAGCACUCACUUUCUUGGUGAGUUUUCCCUGCGUGGUUGUUUAUGAUGAGGCCGGUACACUCUUCGUUGAACAAUUACACAGAUUAAGGCAAUCAGGACGACAGAUCAUCGAGCUGGCUUUGAGAUCCCAGUUUCACCAGUUCCUUCCCCUCGCAAGGACAAAGUAUGUGAUCACGUUGGAGGAGCUAAUAGGACAUAGAGAAUUGGUCCGAGGGCUCAGUUCCCCUUCCAAGGCAGAAAAUCAACAGGACUUGCUUCCCUCCUCCUAUCUGGAAUGCUGUUUUGAAACAGAUGGCACUCGAAAAUGUCUGCCUGAUGAAUGAAUCUAUGACUUAGAAGUCCUGAAAUGGAGUAGCUUGGAGUCAGGUAGCCCACAGGGGAUGCUAUAAAUAGCCAGACUGAAAACAGCCCCAUUCAUGCUGUAAUUGAGUUACACCCUUGCUAACUAUACAAGGUAUUCGUCCAGGCUGGAAACAGGCCAAACGAUAGAAUGUCAUCAAGGACAUCUUCAGGGGGGGAAAAAAAAGAGUACCUAGGUUUCUAGACUUCAUGGACACCGUGUAUGUUAACAUCAAACAUUUCUGAUCUUUUACCAGUUAAAUCCCAGAGGGUUUAACAAGACUUUCUUGUUUUGGAAGGCUUUGGUUGGAACCCUAUGUGGCACAAGCCCUGUUGUCAGCACUGCCAAGGGGCCUCGCACGGGGGAGGGGGUAUCAGAAGGGACAAAAGUGCCUGUGAGCUGGGCUGUGGCAGCUGGUUUCUCUUGGGCUCCUGAAGGGCAUCGAGAAGACAUAAGAGAAGGCAGGAGAAGGCAACAGUGGUUUGCCUCACUCCAGUCCUUCCCCAGCAGGGCCCAACUGGAGAACCAGUGGUUUGGUCGGAAGCAAUAACGGUGACAGUGACCGUGAGGAAGGCAGGAGCAGAAUGAGAAGGGGCCUGAUCCCAUUUUCAGAGCUACCAGCUCUUGGGUCUUCAGAAACAUUUCUGCUAAAGGGACUUGCCUUUAUUUUCGCUUUGCUUUCCCAGCCAGCUGGGGUUGGGUCCCCUCAAACUGGCAAAUGUAGGAGAAAUGUUUCAAUAUUAUAUUGAAACCCCGUGCUCCUGUGUGGUGACGCUAGGAGGCAUGGCCUUUGGAAGGUGGUUAGGUAUUGAGGGUGCUUAGGUCACUGAGCCCUGGGACCUCAGGACGGGACUAGUGACCUUAUAAAAGAGACUCCAGAGAGGUUCCUAACCCCCUUCCACUCUGUGAGGACACACCAAGAUGAUCAUCUGGGAACCAGAAAGUGGAACCUCACCAGACACCGAAUCUGCCAGAGCCUUGACCUUGCACGGCCAGCCUCCAGCACCGUGAGAAAUACAUUUAUGUUAUCCAUAAGCCACCCAUCUGUAGCAGCCUGAAUGGACUAAGACGGCUCUCCAGUUGUCCCUGUGAUGAGGUCAUGAUAUAAUACAAGGAGGUUGUGAUGGUUAAUUAACUGCCAAGGAAAGAUCCCUGCCUGCUAUUAAAGUUAGGUUAAUUGAAAAGCGUAAUUAUCCAAUAAACCUUUGGGGGUAAGGACAAAAGGAAAGUUCAGCGUGUACGCUGCUGACUAGUUUACAUUUCUGGACACUAAAUCUUCCAGGAUCCUCCGAAAGUACUUCAUUCAACAUUCCUCAGAAGAAUUUACCAAAGAAGAAGGCGAUGACAGGGAGAGAAGAUGAUGCUAACAGGGAGGAAAGGAAGUGAGACUGGGCCUUUAUGCGAAAUCUGCCCCUGCUGUUAGCACCACAAAACAGUAACAAGAGAACUGUGACUUUAAAGACACCUUUGAAGGCUCAGGGAUAUAGUUUAACGGCCUCAAGUUCUCACAGAUCAGGAUGUAAGAAGCAGACGGAGAUCACAAGGCAGAGAGAGAGGAGGAAGCAGGCUCCCCGCUGAGCAGAGAGCCUGAUGCGGGGCUUGAUCCAGGACUCUGGGAUUAUGACCUGAGCUGAAGGCAGAGGCUUUAACCCACUGAGCCACCCAGGCGCCCCACUUUGAUGUGGUUUUAUUUUAUUUUAAUUUUUAAAGAUUUUAUUUAUUUGACACAGAGAGAGAGAUCACAAGUAGGCAGAGAGGUAGGCAGAGAGACAGAAGGGGAGGCAGGCUCUCUGCGGAGCAGAGAGCUAGAUGUGGGGCUCGAUCUCAGGACUCUGAGAUCAUGACCUGAGCCGAAGGCAGAGGCUUAACCCACUGAGCCACCCAGGUGCCCCAUGAUGUGGUUUUACUUUAAAGUUAAAAAAAUAAGAGUGAUCUCCUAGCCUGCCCUGUAUUCCAUGCCAAAUAAGGGCAAAUACAUAGUUCAUCCAGCCAUCUGUCCAUCCAGGCAAUGUCUACUGAGCACCUACUAUGUUUCAGGUACUAGUGAUCUGAAAAGGAAUAAAAUAUGGUUGCCUCCAAGGGUUCAUAUUUUCAUGGGAAGGCAUGAGUUCCACCAGAGUGUGGUAAGGGAUGUAAAGUAGGCUGUGGGAGCACAGGACAGAGCAUUUUCUCUGGCCUGGGGAUGUGGGGAAGGCUGCUCCUUGCUUUUCUCCUUCACACAGCUUCUGAGGGACUGUCAGUUAGGAACCAGUUGAAAUCCUAGCAUUUUUCUAGCUCUAUAUAGGUCAUAGUGUAUCAUGGAAAAACAUUUCCAUCCAUUCUUUUCAUAAAAUUACUGCUGGUUCAUUUUCUAGAACAUUCUUUCCACAUCCCCGAAUGACUAAUACCAAAACUGAGAUCCUGUGAGAUUAGCUGAGAAUUCACCCCUGACUGUGUUCAUUUUACAAAAAUAAAAUGACACCUGUUAGUUCAAUGGGUGGUCUUCGCCAUGAAGCACAAGCAUCAAGGAAAGGUGUAGCUGGGACUUGUUGCCUAACAGUCCUUGGUCCUAAUAUAGCAACAUUCAUCUGAGAAGCUUAAAGGACUUGACUCACAUGACAAGCUGCCUCAUUUUGCACUGACUCUUUGAGGAAGACAAGACAAGAUUUAUUACACAGUGGCCUAUAUUCCAAAUAGAGUAUGAUGUUCUCUACCCAGGUAAAUGGAAAAGUAUGUCCCAUGACUCAUUCAGGAGAAACCUAGAGAUCCUUCCAUGAGAAGAGAGAAUCGAACCACUGGUUUAGGCCACGGUUCUGCUCCAAGAAUUCUUUCUAAAGUGUAAGGCCUGAUCUUGCUUAUACAGAACUGAACAAAUUAUAACAAAUGACUGAGGCUCAAAUCCCGAGUGUUGUUUGUGUUCGUGUCUAACCAAUAUUUGUCUUGUCAGUUCUCCCUGGGUGAUGCGCCCCUCCCCUCCUUCCAUUCUCCUUCCUUCCUAGUCCUACUACAGUUUGGCCCAGAGACAGUUGACAUUCAGCUGUCCAGCCUCAGUUUCUUUGUGCCCCAACCCGUAACUGAAUAUAACUGUUACAGAUUAAAUGUUUGUGUCUCCCCUCCCAUUCGUAUGUUGAACCCUAAUCCCCAAAGUGAUGGUAUUUGGAGGAGGUAAGUAGGUCCCAAGGGUGGUGCUCUCAUAAAUUGGGCCAGUGCCCUUAUAGAAGAGGCCCAAAUAACAAUCUAGCCCAUUCCCACAUGUGAAGACACAGCAAGAGGCCAUCAUCUAGGAACCAGGAAGUGGGCUCUCACCAGACACCAAAUCGGCCCGCAUUUUGAUCUUAGAUUUCCAGCCUUGCAAUACUGUGAGAAAUAUAUGCCUGUUUUUUUUUUAUAAGCUCUCCAGUUCAUGGUAUUCUGAUAUAGUAGCCUGAGCUAAGACAGCACCAAGGACAGAUUUAUAUCCCAAAUAUAGUGUUUCCUCUUGUCACUUCCCUGCUAAGAAAUCUUUAGUUGUUCCUCAGUGCUUACAAAAUAAAGUCCAAAUGUUUCAUUCUUCAUGAUCGGUCCCAAUAGACCUUUUCCACUACCG